RNAcentral lists this small RNA (19 nucleotides) under Arabidopsis thaliana (thale cress). RNAcentral describes it as "ATSL095310". Lineage: Eukaryota; Viridiplantae; Streptophyta; Magnoliopsida; Brassicales; Brassicaceae. The record is from RNAcentral.
AAAAAAAACACAAAAAAAA